This is a non-coding RNA of Salvelinus sp. IW2-2015, 692 nucleotides long. The record is from RefSeq and is a predicted model, not a curated record. Lineage: Eukaryota; Metazoa; Chordata; Actinopteri; Salmoniformes; Salmonidae.
ACCACAAGGACGUGACCAUUCAUGGCAGCCAGCAUCAGCAGAGAGAUACCCAAUGUACUUCUAGUCCUGACAGGAAACAAACACACAAGGUUGAUAAACUGUCGUAUCUGGAGUUGAUUUCAGCACCAGCAUUCAGGAGGAUCUUGAUGUUGAUGCAGCCCCCUGAGGYGGCCAGGCUGAGAGGAGUAAUCUGAAAUGCUACACUGCUUCUUGUUGGCCCCACGCAGCAGCAACAGUUUUACCACCAGGAAGGAAUGGACCACAGAGCAGGCCAGGGAGAGAGGUGUGUUUUUGAUUCUCUCAGACUGGGCWUCGAUGUCCUCUCCUUUAUCCAGUAGGAUCUCCACCACGGCAAUGUGAUCCGCUGUAGCAGCCAGGAUUAGAGGAGUGAAACCAGGGGACAGAGAGAUUACUCUCCAACACCUACAUACACAGAUAGACUCCCACUUAUACACAGAAACUAUACAUUUCCCAGAAAAAUGUACAUAUAAAUAUAAAAAUAUAGCUAGGUGGUGUGACGUAGAUGUGCAUCGAUGUCCAGAGGGGGAGCAUGGAGGGUGGGGACACUGAAUUGAUGGGCAUCUGUGCUGUGGGUAUGGGCGAGGUUGUAGUGUUCAACAUAGACACUACUGCUCACCGCUACUGUAACAGAGGGAGAGAGAACAAUUAAUAAAAGAGCGUUCAACCUAUAA